This 343-nucleotide transfer-messenger RNA is filed under the name Erythrobacter insulae. Its description in RNAcentral is "Erythrobacter sp. JBTF-M21 transfer-messenger RNA". It matches the Rfam family "Alphaproteobacteria transfer-messenger RNA". Rfam says of the family: Bacterial tmRNA, also known as 10Sa RNA or SsrA, is named for its dual tRNA and mRNA-like properties. Its role is to liberate the mRNA from a stalled ribosome. Lineage: Bacteria; Pseudomonadati; Pseudomonadota; Alphaproteobacteria; Sphingomonadales; Erythrobacteraceae. The record is from RNAcentral.
UCACUUCCAAUUCAUGCCACAAGUCCUAUGUAAGAGGUGUCGGGCAACCGACUAUGGCGAUAAAUUGCUGCGUGCAAUAGGUACAACGGACCCGGGGGCAGUACCCGGCGUCUCCACCAUAACCCUCUGUUAAAAGAGGAUUUUGACGGGGACGAACUAGGAUCGACGUGGACUGAAAAGCGUAGUUUUUGCCCGGGCUGAAAACCCCGUAAAACUGUUCACAACUCAUAAGUGCAAACGAUAACGAAGCACUCGCAAUCGCUGCGUAAUCUGACGGCCUAACGGCCUGAUCUUACAAAGCUAAAGCGCGGUUGGACCGACCGGGCAACAGAACGGAUUCCGG